This 301-nucleotide ribosomal RNA is filed under the name uncultured bacterium. Its description in RNAcentral is "partial 16S ribosomal RNA". It matches the Rfam family "Bacterial small subunit ribosomal RNA", at positions 509 to 809 of the family's 1533-position model. The record is from RNAcentral.
CAGUCGCCACGGGAAUACAGAGGGUGCAAGCGUUAAUCGGAAUUACUGGGCGUAAAGCGCGCGUAGGUGGUUCGCCAAGUUGGAUGUGAAAUCCCCGGGCUCAACCUGGGAACUGCAUCCAAAACUGGCGAGCUAGAGUAUGGUAGAGGGUGGUAGAAUUCCAGGUGUAGCGGUGAAAUGCGUAGAGAUCUGGAGGAAUACCGAUGGCGAAGGCAGCCAUCUGGCCUAAUACUGACGCUGAGGUACGAAAGCAUGGGGAGCAAACAGGAUUAGAUACCCGAGUAGUCCUGUCUCUUAUACA